Molecule: ribosomal RNA, 639 nt
Filed under: uncultured Actinomycetes bacterium
Lineage: Bacteria; Bacillati; Actinomycetota; Actinomycetes
Description: bacterial SSU rRNA
Rfam family: Bacterial small subunit ribosomal RNA
Source: RNAcentral
CGCGGCCUAUCAGCUUGUUGGAGAGGUAACGGCUCACCAAGGCAUCGACGGGUAGCUGGUCUGAGAGGAUGAUCAGCCACACUGGAACUGAGACACGGUCCAGACUCCUACGGGAGGCAGCAGUGGGGAAUCUUGCACAAUGGGCGAAAGCCUGAUGCAGCGAUGCCGCGUGCGGGAAGAAGGCCUUAGGGUUGUAAACCGCUUUCAGGAGGGAAGAAAAUGACGGUACCUCCAGAAGAAGGUGCAGCCAACUACGUGCCAGCAGCCGCGGUAACACGUAAGGUGCAAGCGUUGUCCGGAUUUAUUGGGCGUAAAGAGCUCGUAGGUGGUUCCGUAAGUCGGAUGUGAAAACUCAAGGCUCAACCUUGAGACGCCAUCCGUUACUGCUAUGACUAGAGUACGGUAGGGGAGCGGGGAAUUCCUGGUGUAGCGGUGAAAUGCGCAGAUAUCAGGAGGAACACCAGCGGCGAAGGCGCCGCUCUGGGCCGUAACUGACGCUGAGGAGCGGAAGCAUGGGUUGCAAACAGGAUUAGAUACCCUGGUAGUCCAUGCCGUAAACGUUGGGCACUAGGUGUGGGUCUCAACCAACGAGAUCCGCGCCGUCGCCAAUGCAUUAAGUGCCCCGCCUGGGGAGUACGG